UACGGAGGGUGCAAGCGUUAUCCGGAUUCACUGGGUUUAAAGGGUGCGUAGGCGGGCAAGUAAGUCAGUGGUGAAAUCUCCGGGCUUAACUCAGAAACUGCCGUUGAUACUAUUUGUCUUGAAUAUCAUGGAGGUAAGCGGAAUAUGUCAUGUAGCGGUGAAAUGCUUAGAUAUGACAUAGAACACCAAUUGCGAAGGCAGCUCACUACACGAAUAUUGACUCUGAGGCACGAAAGCGUGGGGAUCAAACAGG
RNAcentral lists this ribosomal RNA (253 nucleotides) under uncultured bacterium. RNAcentral's name for it is "partial 16S ribosomal RNA". It matches the Rfam family "Bacterial small subunit ribosomal RNA", at positions 524 to 776 of the family's 1533-position model. The record is from RNAcentral.